Molecule: transfer RNA, 63 nt
Filed under: Cyrtorhinus lividipennis
Lineage: Eukaryota; Metazoa; Arthropoda; Insecta; Hemiptera; Miridae
Description: tRNA-Pro
Source: RNAcentral
CAUCGGAUAGUUUAUUAAAAUGUCAAUUUUGGAGAUUGAUGAUAAGGUUUUUCUUUCCGUUGA